This 789-nucleotide long non-coding RNA is filed under the name Brassica rapa (field mustard). RNAcentral's name for it is "long non-coding RNA (BRAP_LNC002308)". The record is from RNAcentral. Lineage: Eukaryota; Viridiplantae; Streptophyta; Magnoliopsida; Brassicales; Brassicaceae.
CCCAACGUUUUAACUUUAUAAAGAAGUCAACGUAAAGAUAAUUGACAUGGAUUUGUUCUCUAGACAUUGACUGUAUACAUGUAAUGUACACACGGAGUUAACGCGCAUUUGAGAAAAAAGGCGCAUAUCUUAGCGUUUACGUUCUGACUAAAAAUAUUGUCACUUUUUGUUUAUGCUACCAUAAUUUUUUUUUUUUUUUUUUUUUGGUAAAAUGUUAAAUAUUAUACCAAGUUUUCAAGUUUGUGACAGAAAUUACAAAGACAACUAGUAACGGAUUACGGAAAUUAAACUAAACAUCAAAACCUAAUACGGAAAAUUCAAACUUUGAUUACAAACAUGAUUUGAACAAAAUGAUCUACAUCUAACUAAACAUCUUUAGCUUCGCUCGACCACCUCUAAACCGGCGCAAUCCGCUAAAUAGUUCAAUUAUCCUUAGACUAUCAAUCCCCGUUCUCAACCAUUGAUAGAAAGCAUUCAAGGGUGGCGUUCACCAAGUUUCCUUGGUUGCCGGUUCAUCUUAUGCCAUCAACAGAGUAGCUGGAUCUUGAUGAUCUCCUCACGCUUGCAAUCUCAGCUGAAUUAAGCGCAUAGUUGAGUGAAUAGACCCGAGAGUUCAUACCUGAACCAACCGGACUGGACGCCAUGGCGUGAGCACUCAACACCUAACAAGACCGGUUGAACUGUAGCUGCCUUGUCUGGUCGUAGCAGUACCUGCAGUAAGAAGAAAGAAGGCAUCCUACCGAAGCUUGCAAGGACAAACUUCAAUACUGGGAUGGAAAACACUCCAAG